GACGCACUCUCAGAGUUUGAUCCUGGCUCAGAGUGAACGCUGGCGGCGUGCCUAAUACAUGCAAGUCGAACGGAGAUUAAUUAAGCUUGCUUUUUUAAUCUUAGUGGCGCACGGGUGAGUAAGAUGUAGCUAAUCUGCCCUUUAGUGGGGGACAACAGUUGGAAACGACUGCUAAUACCCCAUACUCCGUCUUGACAUAUGUCAAGACGGGAAAGUCUUUUCGCUAAAGGAUGAGGCUACAGUGUAUCAGCUAGUUGGUAAGGUAAAAGCUUACCAAGGCUAUGACGCAUAACUGGUCUGAGAGGAUGAUCAGUCACAUUGGAACUGAGACACGGUCCAA
RNAcentral lists this ribosomal RNA (340 nucleotides) under uncultured bacterium. RNAcentral's name for it is "bacterial SSU rRNA". It matches the Rfam family "Bacterial small subunit ribosomal RNA", at positions 1 to 334 of the family's 1533-position model. The record is from RNAcentral.